UACGGAGGAUGCAAGCGUUGUCCGGAUUCAUUGGGUUUAAAGGGUGCGUAGGUGGUUUCGUAAGUCAGUGGUGAAAGCCCGUCGCUUAACGGCGGAACUGCCAUUGAUACUGCUAGUCUUGAGUAUGGUUGAGGUGGGCGGAAUGUGUCAUGUAGCGGUGAAAUGCUUAGAUAUGACCCAGAACACCAAUUGCGAAGGCAGCUCGCUAAGCCAUAACUGACGCUGAGGCACGAAAGCGUGGGGAGCAAACAGG
Molecule: ribosomal RNA, 253 nt
Filed under: uncultured bacterium
Lineage: Bacteria
Description: partial 16S ribosomal RNA
Rfam family: Bacterial small subunit ribosomal RNA
Source: RNAcentral